UUACCACACCUAAAAAACUUUCCACGUGAACCGUAUCAACCCACUUAGUUGGGGGCUAGUCCCGGCGGCUGGCUGUCGAUGUCAAAGUUGACGGCUGCUGCUGUGUGUCGGGCCCUAUCAUGGCGAGCGUUUGGGUCCCUCUCGGGGGAACUGAGCCAGUAGCCCUUAUUUUUUAAACCCAUUCUUGAAUACUGAAUAUACUGUGGGGACGAAAGUCUCUGCUUUUAACUAGAUAGCAACUUUCAGCAGUGGAUGUCUAGGCUCGCACAUCGAUGAAGAACGCUGCGAACUGCGAUACGUAAUGCGAAUUGCAGGAUUCAGUGAGUCAUCGAAAUUUUGAACGCAUAUUGCACUUCCGGGUUAGUCCUGGGAGUAUGCCUGUAUCAGUGUCCGUACAUCAAACUUGGCUCUCUUCCUUCCGUGUAGUCGGUGGAUGGGGACGCCAGACGUGAGGUGUCUUGCGGGUGGUCUUCGGGCUGCCUGCGAGUCCCUUGAAAUGUACUGAACUGUACUUCUCUUUGCUCGAAAAGCGUGACGUUGUUGGUUGUGGAGGCUGCCUGUGUGGCCAGUCGGCGACCGGUUUGUCUGCUGCGGCGUUUAAUGGAGGAGUGUUCGAUUCGCGGUAUGGUUGGCUUCGGCUGAACAAUGCGCUUAUUGGACGUUCUUCCUGCUGUGGCGGUACGGAUCGGUGAACCGUA
Molecule: ribosomal RNA, 698 nt
Filed under: Phytophthora x cambivora
Lineage: Eukaryota; Oomycota; Peronosporomycetes; Peronosporales; Peronosporaceae
Description: eukaryotic LSU rRNA
Rfam family: 5.8S ribosomal RNA (bases 238-392)
Source: RNAcentral